This is a non-coding RNA of Urocitellus parryii (Arctic ground squirrel), 71 nucleotides long. The record is from the annotation of a RefSeq genome assembly. Lineage: Eukaryota; Metazoa; Chordata; Mammalia; Rodentia; Sciuridae.
GGGGAUGUGGCUCAGUGGUAGAGUGCUUGCCUAGCAUGCAUGAGGUACUGGGUUCRAUUCUCAGCACCWCA